GCGCCCGGGCUAAAGCCCCGACGGGAGGGGAUGGCUCCGCGGCCCAUCAGGUAGACGGCGGGGUGACGGCCCACCGUGCCGACAACGGGUAGCCGGGUUGAGAGACCGACCGGCCAGAUUGGGACUGAGACACGGCCCAGACUCCUACGGGAGGCAGCAGUGGGGAAUCUUGCGCAAUGGGGGGAACCCUGACGCAGCGACGCCGCGUGCGGGACGGAGGCCUUCGGGUCGUAAACCGCUUUCAGCAGGGAAGAGUCAAGACUGUACCUGCAGAAGAAGCCCCGGCUAACUACGUGCCAGCAGCCGCGGUAAUACGUAGGGGGCGAGCGUUAUCCGGAUUCAUUGGGCGUAAAGCGCGCGUAGGCGGCCCGGCAGGCCGGGGGUCGAAGCGGGGGGCUCAACCCCCCGAAGCCCCCGGAACCUCCGCGGCUUGGGUCCGGUAGGGGAGGGUGGAACACCCGGUGUAGCGGUGGAAUGCGCAGAUAUCGGGUGGAACACCGGUGGCGAAGGCGGCCCUCUGGGCCGAGACCGACGCUGAGGCGCGAAAGCUGGGGGAGCGAACAGGAUUAGAUACCCUGGUAGUCCCAGCCGUAAACGAAAGACGCUAGGUGUGGGGGGACGAUCCCCCCGUGCC
This 634-nucleotide ribosomal RNA is filed under the name uncultured bacterium. Its description in RNAcentral is "partial 16S ribosomal RNA". It matches the Rfam family "Bacterial small subunit ribosomal RNA", at positions 192 to 847 of the family's 1533-position model. The record is from RNAcentral.